UCCCUGUUGGCUCAGAGGAUAAAGCGUCUGCCUGCAACGCAGGAGACCCGGGUUUGAUCCCUGGGUUGGGAA
Molecule: transfer RNA, 72 nt
Filed under: Capra hircus (goat)
Lineage: Eukaryota; Metazoa; Chordata; Mammalia; Artiodactyla; Bovidae
Also listed under: 1 other name
Rfam family: tRNA
About the family: Transfer RNA (tRNA) molecules are approximately 80 nucleotides in length. Their secondary structure includes four short double-helical elements and three loops (D, anti-codon, and T loops).
Source: Rfam by way of RNAcentral